This 1375-nucleotide ribosomal RNA is filed under the name uncultured Pelagibacterales bacterium. RNAcentral's name for it is "bacterial SSU rRNA". It matches the Rfam family "Bacterial small subunit ribosomal RNA". Lineage: Bacteria; Pseudomonadati; Pseudomonadota; Alphaproteobacteria; Candidatus Pelagibacterales. The record is from RNAcentral.
UAACACAUGCAAGUCGAACGAAGUAGCAAUACUUAGUGGCAGACGGGUGAGUAACAUGUAGGUAUCUGCCCUUUGGCCUGGAAUAACACGAGGAAACUUGUGCUAAUACCGGAUAAGUCUUUACAGGAGAAAGCUUUAUGCACCAUUGGAUGAGCCUGCACUUGAUUAGUUUGUUGGUGGGGUAAUGGCCUACCAAGACUGUAAUCAAUAGCUGAUUUGAGAGGAUGAUCAGCCACAUUGGGACUGAGACACGGCCCAAACUCCUACGGGAGGCAGCAGUGGGGAAUCUUGCACAAUGGAGGAAACUCUGAUGCAGCGAUGCCGCGUGAGUGAAGAAGGCCCUUGGGUUGUAAAGCUCUUUCGUCGGGGAAGAAAAUGACUGUACCCGAAUAAGAAGGUCCGGCUAACUUCGUGCCAGCAGCCGCGGUAAUACGAAGGGACCUAGCGUAGUUCGGAAUUACUGGGCUUAAAGAGUUCGUAGGUGGUUGAAAUAGUUGGUGGUGAAAUCCCAGAGCUUAACUCUGGAACUGCCAUCAAAACUUUUCAGCUAGAGUAUGAUAGAGGAAAGCAGAAUUUCUAGUGUAGAGGUGAAAUUCGUAGAUAUUAGAAAGAAUACCAAUUGCGAAGGCAGCUUUCUGGAUCGUUACUGACACUGAGGAACGAAAGCAUGGGUAGCGAAGAGGAUUAGAUACCCUCGUAGUCCAUGCCGUAAACGAUGUGUGUUAGACGUUGGAAAUUUAUUUUCAGUGUCGCAGGGAAACCGAUAAACACACCGCCUGGGGAGUACGACCGCAAGGUUAAAACUCAAAUGAAUUGACGGGGACCCGCACAAGUAGUGGAGCAUGUGGUUUAAUUCGAAGAUACGCGCAGAACCUUACCAACACUUGACAUGUUCGUCGCGACUCUAAGAGAUUAGAGUUUUCGGUUCGGCCGGACGAAACACAGGUGCUGCAUGGCUGUCGUCAGCUCGUGUCGUGAGAUGUUGGGUUAAGUCCCGCAACGAGCGCAACCCUCACUUUUAGUUGCCAUCAUUAGUUGGGCACUCUGAAAGAACUGCCAAUGUAAGCUGGAGGAAGGUGGGGAUGACGUCAAGUCCUCAUGGCCCUUACGUGUUGGGCUACACACGUGCUACAAUGGUAUCUACAACAGGAAGCAAGACUGCGAAGUUAAGCAAAUCCCUAAAAGAUACCUCAGUUCGGAUUGCACUCUGCAACUCGAGUGCAUGAAGCUGGAAUUACUAGUAAUCGUGGAUCAGCGUGCCACGGUGAAUGCGUUCCCGGGUCUUGUACACACCGCCCGUCACACCAUGGGAGUUGGUUCUACCUUAAGGCAAGGUUUUAAACCCUUGACCACGGUAUAGUCAGCGACUGGGGUG